Molecule: non-coding RNA, 29 nt
Filed under: Rattus norvegicus (Norway rat)
Lineage: Eukaryota; Metazoa; Chordata; Mammalia; Rodentia; Muridae
Source: RNAcentral
AGCCUGUACCUUUGGCUGUAAUAGAAGGU